RNAcentral lists this ribosomal RNA (112 nucleotides) under uncultured eukaryote. Its description in RNAcentral is "partial small subunit ribosomal RNA". The record is from RNAcentral.
MACCMGARGAUGGUGCGCUAACCUGCUUGCAGGAGGCAGCCAGCCACGGUGGGAUCAGCGACUGGGGUGAAGUCGUAACAAGGUAGCCGUAGGUGAACCUGCAGAAGGAUCA